Molecule: ribosomal RNA, 254 nt
Filed under: uncultured bacterium
Lineage: Bacteria
Description: partial 16S ribosomal RNA
Rfam family: Bacterial small subunit ribosomal RNA
Source: RNAcentral
GACAGAGGUGGCAAGCGUUGUUCGGAUUCAUUGGGUGUAAAGGGUGCGUAGGCGGUUUGGAAAGUCAGAUGUGAAAUCCUACAGCUUAACUGUAGAACUGCAUUUGAAACUUCCAGACUAGAGUAUGGAAGAGGUGAAGGGAAUUCCCGGUGUAAGGGUGAAAUCUGCAGAUAUCGGGAAGAACACCAGUAGCGAAGGCGCUUCACUGGUCCAUUACUGACGCUGAGUGCACGAAGGUGUGGGGAGCAAACGGG